RNAcentral lists this ribosomal RNA (492 nucleotides) under uncultured bacterium. Its description in RNAcentral is "partial 16S ribosomal RNA". It matches the Rfam family "Bacterial small subunit ribosomal RNA", at positions 29 to 507 of the family's 1533-position model. The record is from RNAcentral.
AGUGAACGCUGGCGGUAGGCCUAACACAUGCAAGUCGAACGGCAGCACAGUAAGAGCUUGCUCUUACGGGUGGCGAGUGGCGGACGGGUGAGGAAUACAUCGGAAUCUACUUUUUCGUGGGGGAUAACGUAGGGAAACUUACGCUAAUACCGCAUACGACCUACGGGUGAAAGCAGGGGAUCUUCGGACCUUGCGCGAUUGAAUGAGCCGAUGUCGGAUUAGCUAGUUGGCGGGGUAAGGGCCCACCAAGGCGACGAUCCGUAGCUGGUCUGAGAGGAUGAUAGCCACAAGGAGAGAGUAGCCAGCGCCAGUCCUCCUGCGAGAGGACCCAGAGGGAAAUGGGAGACAGUGGGGGCAAGCAGUACCACCCAGUCCCGCGGGUGAAAAAACGGCUUCCGGUGUGAAAUGCCUGUUUUUGGGAAAAAAAAAGCAGCAGGUAAAUACCCCGCUUUCGUGACGGUACCAAAAGAAGAAGCACCGGCUAACUUCGAG